GACCGGUGCGGUGACCUUCCGUCGUCUGCUGCUGCAUCAACAGCGCGAUGGAUCGGAAGCGAGGCUGAGUAUCACAAACGGCAACGACAUCACUAGAGUGACGGCUGCACUGACAGCACUAGAACGCCUUUUUUUUUGCUGCCCCAGAUCAUCUAUGCCUCUUUUCUUCCUGCACAAAGCCUAACUAGGCAUGCUCUUGCUACACGAAUCCAAGCCAACUACAAUUUCUCCUGCUCCUGGAAUCGGCACUAGUACGGUGGUUGUUGCUGUUGCUAGGCUUCUUCCUUCUUUCACAGAGCCUGACCACAGAGCCGCCUGAUACGUUCUUGGUGCUUCUUUCCUCAUGUUUGAGAGAGUUGCAGGUCUUGGUGGAUAAACAUACCCGUGCUGGUGAUUUUAGUUUAUGUAUUUUUGCCCUGAUAUGUUCCUCCGUUUAGUGUAUCUUUCAAAUUGCUAGAAUGCUAUUUCUACAUAUUUCUUGUUUUGAUUUGCAAGCAUGUUUCCUGUUCCAAGUUCAGACCCCCCAUGGGUAUUUGAAUUCAGAUACAAAUUGUUACCUGAUAUUUAGUUUAUGUUAAUUUCAUAUUCAGAAUUUCGUAUCAUUGUUUGUGAUUUUCCUUUAGUAAUUUUAAUUCCAGGUAUUGUAGACAGUUCAUUUAGAUAUCUUGCAAUGUACAUGUAGAUCCAGGAGGAAAAUUCCUUUAUGGAGGCCUUAAGCAGGAGGCACAAGCCUGUGGCGCAUCUGAUAGCAGAGCCUGACAACGUCCUGUCCGUGGUCGAGGUGGACAUGUACACACGCAUCGCCGUCGAGGAGGACGAUGCUGCAUUGCUUGAGGAGAUCAUCCGGCAGGGAUGUGACCGCUGCGUGUUGCAGCGACAGCUGCACCGCGCAGUCAAGGACGACAACAUCCGGCUUAUCAGAGAAGAUUGCAUGUGACAUCUAGCUAAGGCCAAGGAUGAGGCCUGCCAUUGUACUCAGCAGUGGUCGAGGGGCACACCCGAAUUGGCCAUGCUGCACCGAGUUGAAUACCAUGACCUGGCCGUGACGGUGAACCAAGCUGUCCGCCUUCCAGAACGUUGAUUUCUUGUCAAGGAAAUCUCUUGAAGAACAAAAAUGGUAUAUAAUGUGAGCAUCCCAGCUGCAUUUGUCCAUCCUCAUAUCAGUUUGUCUGGUCUAAUGGAGCGAAGAAACGGGAGUGUAUGUAUUCCCACUAAACAUGGGUAUAUAUUUGGCAUGUAUUCUCAGCUUGAAGUUCUACCUACCAAUUAUUGGCGAUUAAAGAUGGAACUGAUUCUGCCUAAUUUGAUUAUUUUGAGAGCGUCAAGAAGGUUGAUAGACCAGCAAAUAGUCGUUUUGAGCCCACAACCAUUCCUCAGAAGGAUCAACCUUUGGGAAUGGUUCUUCAGAUAAUACCAUACUGAAUAUGGAGGCAUGUAUUUUUAAGUGAAAUAGUUAUUUCUAGACCCUUUUGGUAACAUCCAGUUGUGUGUAAUAUUUGAUAGUUGGACAUGCUAGGGAUUCUCACAUAGUAUAUUCACUUCCAAAUAAAAAGAUUCUAGAAAAAAGACCUUUGGGAAUCGUUCUUCCAAUAAUACCAUGCUGAAUAUGGAGACAUAUAUUUUUAAAUGAAAUGGUUGUUUCUAGAGUUUUUUUAUGUUCCUAUUACAGACUGUUGAUGCACACUGUUUUAUAACAGUAUGAUGGUGUGUGCUACUUCGUUGAGUGGUUGGUUGCAGAAUGAAAGGGCAGGAGUGGCAUCACGAUGAACAGCGAGAAGAUAUGAAGAGUAUUAGAAGUGGGACUAGAGCCAUGAGAUUCUCCGAUGUCUGGAAGAGGCAAGCUGGAGCAUUCCAUUCCUCUAUGGUUAGGAAGCACACCUCGCUGUAGACAUCCCCUGACGGCCAAGAAACAAAGGGGGGCUUCAAAAGGGCUUCCUUUCCGCCUUGGUUUCAGAGUUUGUGUUCAUGUUAUUAGCUAUAGAAAUGCAACUGUGUUGUGUAUGCAAAUGGGGUUGAGACAAAGCAGAGCUCAUUGCACUGCGCCCGCACAUAUCCCCAUCAGCUACAUGGGCCACAUCGUCUCCUGCGGCAGCCUUGGCGCUCCAGGGCGAUUCGAGCAAGGCCUGGAGCCAUCUCGGGCAUCUGUGUGGCGUUGGACGCCGCAAACUCAACGGGACGGUGGCCUCAAGCGCGGGUCCGUCUUAAGUCCAUGUGCAAUCUGUCCCACCGGUGCCCGGCAGCGCUGAUGACCAUUUUCUCCUUCCACUGUCUUCUUUUCAUCGCCCCAGCCAGAUGUACUUCCAGCAAGAAGGGAGUAGUUUGAGGAAGGGGAGUUUUCCUGUAUAUAUAUGCCUACACCACAAUUUUAGAAGGGAAAAAGGAGGCAUUGGAGAAGCAGAAAUUGGAGGGUUGAUUGUCCCUGUCAUAGUCCUAGAAGAAAUGUAUUCCCUUGUGAGGAUUUGAUACCCUGCAAUAAGAAAUUUAGUGUCGAGUUUCUAACACGGCCGGAGGUAGUUCUCUUGUUAGUAAUAUGCUUAGAUCUAGAUUACUUGCCUAGAAAUCAGGAGUUCAUUUUUAUCAUCCUAAUUUUCUCAUUGCACCAACAUGCCGCGUCUGCUUUUAGGUACUGCUCUAUGGACAGUCAAAGUCGAAUCAGAAACACACAAUAAAGUAGCAUGAGUCCUCUUUGAGUGUCAGUCUGCCAGACAUUUGUAUAAUGAUAACCCUUUGAGCAUUACAAAAUUUUCUUCUAUAUUAUCUAUGCUCUUUGCUUCAAUGCACUCUCCUUCAGGUGCUAAAGAAUUUUCUAUCUCACUUUACGGUAAUCUUUUCAGUUAAAUGUAAUGAUGAUAAAUUUUUGCAUGUCCAUGUAAAUAGUAAAUAAUUCCCUUUGUGAUCCGAGUGCUUAAUAUAAACUUCAAUGAGUACAGAUGUGUUGUGAUGAUCCAGUGAGAACAUGACCUGAAUUGGUGUCCCUACUGCGUAGCUCCUGAGCGUCA
Molecule: non-coding RNA, 2999 nt
Organism: Lolium perenne
Lineage: Eukaryota; Viridiplantae; Streptophyta; Magnoliopsida; Poales; Poaceae
Source: RefSeq, a predicted model, not a curated record